Molecule: long non-coding RNA, 1892 nt
Organism: Sciurus carolinensis (gray squirrel)
Lineage: Eukaryota; Metazoa; Chordata; Mammalia; Rodentia; Sciuridae
Exons: 4
Source: RefSeq, a predicted model, not a curated record
CAGCCCAGGAGAAGGACAGUGACCUGGGCAGGUGGCAGGAGGAAGAGAUGCAGCGUGUUUGGGAACUGUCGUCCUCGGAAGGCCCGCAUUGAAGACUGCCUGCGUCUUGCUGGAUGUGGCCACGUGACCUGCUUUGGCCCAUGACCAUAAGCAGCAAUGUCGGAACCUUUGUCCAGGAAACCUCCUAACACUGGAGUCUAUCGUUUCGUCAACCUUGGACAAUGCUCGCGGCUGGCUAGUAGACUGUCCCAACUCCAUUUAUGAAGCCAUCACUGCCAGGCCUGUUAUUGGAAAUCCCGGGGACGGUUAAUGCAGGCAGCAUCUGUAUCACAUGCAUCGUGAGGAAGCUGAACGAAGCAAAACCCAACCAAAAGGAGGAGCCCUCUGAGGAGGCACGGAAGAGUGGCCAUGAAGUGCACGCUUGGUCUCAGAGAAGGAGGGCUUACGGGGUCCACUAGGACACAAAAAUCCAAGGAAGAUCCCAGUGCACUGGAGGACAGAAGCCCCAACACUCUGCCUGUGUGUUUGUCCACUGCAACACACAGCUGGGCCUCCUGGUCACUUCCUGGUUGAUACCACCUUUAUCAGUGUUUCCACUGCAGCCAGACUGGAGGUGGGGUAGUCAGUGCUGGACUGUCUCUGUGCCAAGUGUAUACUCUCAACAACUGAUUGCAUGACGGCGGAAACAGAGAAAUUGGGGCAGAAGUACAGAGUGGCUUUAAGGGUCUCUGAGGAGCCAUGGUCUGAACCAUUACCAUGUACACACAGAGGAGCCCCUGCAGAUGACUGCUGAGUACCAAGAGCAGUUGGCACAAGUGCCACAUUGUAGCCACCACUGACCAUAAUCUUAGCAGAAGAAACCUGAAAAUCCCCAGAAUUCCCAUCAUGUACAUUUUUGUUUAAUUUUUACAAUUUGUUCUAAUUAUACAUGACAGUAGAAUGCAUUUACGCAUUUUGAUAAAUCAUACAUAAGUGGAGGAUGAUUUCUCCUUUUUUGAUUGUACAUACUGUAGGAUCACACUGGCCAUGCAGCCAUGUAUGUACAUGAGGUAAGAAAGUGAAAAUAAAAGUGAAAACCAGCAAAGGGAGGAGCUACACUAAAGGAAUAGUCAACCAAUGGAGAAGCUACACCAAUUAAGAACCAGAAAUAAACCAAAAUGAUGGGGAAUACAAAUCAUAUCUCAAUAAUAACCUUGAAUGCUAAUGGUCUGAACUCAUGAGUGGAGUUACAUGUCUAACCAUGGCUACAACUCGGAGCGGCUGCCUGAUGAUUGUGGAGACCUUAGUUCUGAUUCUUAGAAGACAAAGUUGUUCUGCCUUCCUUCCACCAACUCUCUCUGUUGCCAGAAAUGGCUGGAAGAACUGCCCGGUGAACACUCAUCUAUGUCUUCAUCUGGAUCCAUCAAUUGUCACACUGCACCACAUUUUUAUCUAUCAACAUUUUUUUGUGAAUCAUUAUGGAGCCUAAAUUGCAGACACCAUUAUCCCUUCCUCUCUAAAUACUUAAGCAGGGAUAACUCCAACACAAGAGUAUUUUAUUUCUUAACUGCAAUAUCAAAUUCAAGCAGUCUAAUGCUCUCAUGUUAAUAUCACAUAUGAUAUAAAAUGGACCCGUUGUGUCACUGCCCUCAGAUGUCUCCAUAAUGACAUUUUCCCCUAAUAUGGGAUCUCACCUUGCCCUUUAGUUGUACAUCUCUAGAGUCUUCUUAAAUCCGAAAUAGGUUUUUGGCCUUUCCCCCUUUUUUUACAUGAUAUCAACAUUUUUUAAAAAAAUAUGGACUGUUCAUGUUGUAGAAGGUAUGAAAACACCUCUACUUGGGUUAUUUGUUGAAACAGUCAUAGUCCCUUCCCUGUUGCUAUAACAGAACGCCAGAGGCUGGGUAAUUUAUGAA